CGGGGGGCUGCACCAGUGGGGAAUAUUGCACAAUGGGGGAAACCCUGAUGCAGCGACGCCGCGUGGAGGAUGACACAUUUCGGUGCGUAAACUCCUUUUAUAGGUCAAGAUAAUGACGGUAGCCUAUGAAUAAGCGCCGGCUAACUCCGUGCCAGCAGCCGCGGUAAUACGGAGGGCGCAAGCGUUACUCGGAAUCACUGGGCGUAAAGAGCAUGUAGGCGGGUUAAUAAGUCAGAAGUGAAAUCCAAUAGCUCAACUAUUGAACUGCUUUUGAAACUGUUAACCUAGAGUGUGGGAGAGGUAGAUGGAAUUUCUGGUGUAGGGGUAAAAUCCGUAGAGAUCAGAAGGAAUACCGAUUGCGAAGGCGAUCUACUGGAACAUUACUGACGCUGAGAUGCGAAAGCGUGGGGAGCAAACAGGAUUAGAUACCCUUGUAGUC
Molecule: ribosomal RNA, 439 nt
Filed under: uncultured bacterium
Lineage: Bacteria
Description: partial 16S ribosomal RNA
Rfam family: Bacterial small subunit ribosomal RNA
Source: RNAcentral